Molecule: ribosomal RNA, 1545 nt
Filed under: Escherichia coli
Lineage: Bacteria; Pseudomonadati; Pseudomonadota; Gammaproteobacteria; Enterobacterales; Enterobacteriaceae
Also listed under: 1 other name
Description: partial 23S ribosomal RNA
Rfam family: Bacterial large subunit ribosomal RNA
Source: RNAcentral
CAUAGGUUAAUGAGGCGAACCGGGGGAACUGAAACAUCUAAGUACCCCGAGGAAAAGAAAUCAACCGAGAUUCCCCCAGUAGCGGCGAGCGAACGGGGAGCAGCCCAGAGCCUGAAUCAGUGUGUGUGUUAGUGGAAGCGUCUGGAAAGGCGCGCGAUACAGGGUGACAGCCCCGUACACAAAAAUGCACAUGCUGUGAGCUCGAUGAGUAGGGCGGGACACGUGGUAUCCUGUCUGAAUAUGGGGGGACCAUCCUCCAAGGCUAAAUACUCCUGACUGACCGAUAGUGAACCAGUACCGUGAGGGAAAGGCGAAAAGAACCCCGGCGAGGGGAGUGAAAAAGAACCUGAAACCGUGUACGUACAAGCAGUGGGAGCACGCUUAGGCGUGUGACUGCGUACCUUUUGUAUAAUGGGUCAGCGACUUAUAUUCUGUAGCAAGGUUAACCGAAUAGGGGAGCCGAAGGGAAACCGAGUCUUAACUGGGCGUUAAGUUGCAGGGUAUAGACCCGAAACCCGGUGAUCUAGCCAUGGGCAGGUUGAAGGUUGGGUAACACUAACUGGAGGACCGAACCGACUAAUGUUGAAAAAUUAGCGGAUGACUUGUGGCUGGGGGUGAAAGGCCAAUCAAACCGGGAGAUAGCUGGUUCUCCCCGAAAGCUAUUUAGGUAGCGCCUCGUGAAUUCAUCUCCGGGGGUAGAGCACUGUUUCGGCAAGGGGGUCAUCCCGACUUACCAACCCGAUGCAAACUGCGAAUACCGGAGAAUGUUAUCACGGGAGACACACGGCGGGUGCUAACGUCCGUCGUGAAGAGGGAAACAACCCAGACCGCCAGCUAAGGUCCCAAAGUCAUGGUUAAGUGGGAAACGAUGUGGGAAGGCCCAGACAGCCAGGAUGUUGGCUUAGAAGCAGCCAUCAUUUAAAGAAAGCGUAAUAGCUCACUGGUCGAGUCGGCCUGCGCGGAAGAUGUAACGGGGCUAAACCAUGCACCGAAGCUGCGGCAGCGACGCUUAUGCGUUGUUGGGUAGGGGAGCGUUCUGUAAGCCUGCGAAGGUGUGCUGUGAGGCAUGCUGGAGGUAUCAGAAGUGCGAAUGCUGACAUAAGUAACGAUAAAGCGGGUGAAAAGCCCGCUCGCCGGAAGACCAAGGGUUCCUGUCCAACGUUAAUCGGGGCAGGGUGAGUCGACCCCUAAGGCGAGGCCGAAAGGCGUAGUCGAUGGGAAACAGGUUAAUAUUCCUGUACUUGGUGUUACUGCGAAGGGGGGACGGAGAAGGCUAUGUUGGCCGGGCGACGGUUGUCCCGGUUUAAGCGUGUAGGCUGGUUUUCCAGGCAAAUCCGGAAAAUCAAGGCUGAGGCGUGAUGACGAGGCACUACGGUGCUGAAGCAACAAAUGCCCUGCUUCCAGGAAAAGCCUCUAAGCAUCAGGUAACAUCAAAUCGUACCCCAAACCGACACAGGUGGUCAGGUAGAGAAUACCAAGGCGCUUGAGAGAACUCGGGUGAAGGAACUAGGCAAAAUGGUGCCGUAACUUCGGGAGAAGGCACGC